This 497-nucleotide ribosomal RNA is filed under the name uncultured bacterium. Its description in RNAcentral is "partial 16S ribosomal RNA". It matches the Rfam family "Bacterial small subunit ribosomal RNA", at positions 28 to 507 of the family's 1533-position model. The record is from RNAcentral.
GAUGAACGCUGGCGGCGUGCCUAAUACAUGCAAGUCGAGCGAACGGGCGAGAAGCUUGCUUCUCUGAUGUUAGCGGCGGACGGGUGAGUAACACGUGGAUAACCUACCUAUAAGACUGGGAUAACUUCGGGAAACCGGAGCUAAUACCGGAUAAUAUUUUGAACCGCAUGGUUCAAAAGUGAAAGACGGUCUUGCUGUCACUUAUAGAUGGAUCCGCGCUGCAUUAGCUAGUUGGUAAGGUAACGGCUUACCAAGGCAACGAUGCAUAGCCGACCUGAGAGGGUGAUCGGCCACACUGGAACUGAGACACGGUCCAUACUCCUACGGGAGGCAGCAGUAGGGAAUCUUCCGCAAUGGGCGAAAGCCUGACGGAGCAACGCCGCGUGAGUGAUGAAGGUCUUCGGAUCGUAAAACUCUGUUAUUAGGGAAGAACAGAUGUGUAAGUAACUGUGCACAUCUUGACGGUACCUAAUCAGAAAGCCACGGCUAACUACGUG